GAUGAACGCUAGCGAUAGGCUUAACACAUGCCAGUCGAGGGGCAGCAUGGUCUUAGCUUGCUAAGACUGAUGGCGACCGGCGCACGGGUGCGUAACGCGUAUGCAACUUGCCUCACAGAGGGGGAUAACCCGUCGAAAGACGGACUAAUACCGCGUACACUCUAUUUUGGGCAUCCAAGGUAGAGGAAAUGAAACUCGCUGUGAGAUAGGCAUGCGUCCCAUUAGCUAGUUGGUGAGGUAACGGCUCACCAAGGCGACGAUGGGUAGGGGAACUGAGAGGUUGAACCCCCACACUGGUACUGAGACACGGACCAGACUCCUACGGGAGGCAGCAGUGAGGAAUAUUGGUCAAUGGGCGAGAGCCUGAACCAGCCAAGUCGCGUGAAGGAUGACUGUCUUAUGGAUUGUAAACUUCUUUUGUAGGGGAAUAAAGAGGGGCACGUGUGCCCCAGUGAAUGUACCCUACGAAUAGGCAUCGGCUAACUCCGUG
This 490-nucleotide ribosomal RNA is filed under the name uncultured bacterium. RNAcentral describes it as "partial 16S ribosomal RNA". It matches the Rfam family "Bacterial small subunit ribosomal RNA", at positions 28 to 507 of the family's 1533-position model. The record is from RNAcentral.